AAGUAGUAAUUUAUAAUAAAACUUAUUUAUUUUGGCGGCAUUUCAUCUUAUUAGAGGAACUUGUUUAAUAAUAGAUACUACACUGUCAUUUUCACUUUAAUAUAAAAUUUAUAUACCGCCAUCAAAAGAAUCUAUUUAAAAAUUCAUUCUAAAUAAAAUAUAAAAAGUUAGGUCAAGGUGUAAUCUAAGUUAAAGAAUAAAUGAGUUACUUUAAAUUAUAUUUAUUAAAAAAUUAAAAAAUUACUUUUUAUUUAGGAUUUAAAAGUAAUAUAAAAAUAAUAUUUUCAUAUGAAUUAGAUAAUAAAUGUGU
RNAcentral lists this ribosomal RNA (310 nucleotides) under cf. Zodariellum sp. Guinea Bissau MR469. RNAcentral describes it as "partial 12S ribosomal RNA". The record is from RNAcentral. Lineage: Eukaryota; Metazoa; Arthropoda; Arachnida; Araneae; Zodariidae.